UGGGAUAAGCGUUGGAAACGACGUCUAAUACCGGAUACGAGCUUCCACCGCAUGGUGAGUUGCUGGAAAGAAUUUUGGUCAAGGAUGGACUCGCGGCCUAUCAUCUAGUUGGUGAGGUAACGGCUCACCAAGGACACUACGGGUAGGCGGCCUGAGAGGGUGACCGGCCACUCUGGGACUGAGACACGGCCCACACUCCUACGGGAGGCAGCAGUGGGGAAUAUUGCACAGUGGGAGAAAGCCUGAUGCACCAACGCCGCGUGAGGGACGACGGCCUUCAGGUUGUAAACCUCUUUUAUCAGGGAAAAAGCGAAAGUGACGGUACCUGCAGAAAAAGCACCGGCUAACUACGUGCCAGCAGCCGCGGUAAUACGUAGGGUGCAAGCGUUGUCCGGAAUUAUUGGGCGUAAAGAGCUCGUAGGCGGUUUGUCGCGUCUGCUGUGAAAUCCCGAGGCUCAACCUCGGGUCUGCAGUGGGUACGGGCAGACUAGAGUGCGGUAGGGGAGAUUGGAAUUCCUGGUGUAGCGUUGGAAUGCGCAUAUAUCAGGAAGAACACCGAUGGCGAAAGCAGAUCUCUGGGCCGUUACUGACGCUGAGGAGCGAAAGGGUGGGGAGCAAACAAGCUUAUAUACACUGGUAGUCACCCCGACAACGUUGGGCGCUAGAUGAGGGGACCAUUCUACGGCUUUCGUGUCGUAGCUAACGCAUUAAGCGCCCCGCCUGGGGAGUACGGCCGCAAGGCUAAAACUCAAAGGAAUUGACGGGGGCCCGCACAAGCGGCGGAGCAUGCGGAUUAAUUCGAUGCAACGCGAAGAACCUUACCAAGGCUUGACAUAUACGAGAACGGGCCAGAAAUGGUCAACUCUUUGGACACUAGUAAACAGGUGGUGCAUGGUUGUCGUCAGCUCGUGUCGUGAGAUGUUGGGUUAAGUCCCGCAACGAGCGCAACCCUCGUUCUAUGUUGCCAGCACGUAAUGGUGGGAACUCAUGGGAUACUGCCGGGGUCAACUCGGAGGAAGGUGGGGACGACGUCAAAUCAUCAUGCCCCUUAUGUCUUGGGCUUCACGCAUGCUACAAUGGCCAGUACAAAGGGCUGCAAUACCGUAAGGUGGAGCGAAUCCCAAAAAGCUGGUCCCAGUUCGGAUUGAGGUCUGCAACUCGACCUCAUGAAGUCGGAGUCGCUAGUAAUCGCAGAUCAGCAACGCUGCGGUGAAUACGUUCCCGGGCCUUGUACACACCGCCCGUCAAGUCAUGAAAGUCGGUAACACCCGAAGCCAGUGGCCUAACCGCAAGGAGGAGCUGUC
RNAcentral lists this ribosomal RNA (1304 nucleotides) under Plantibacter sp. RNAcentral describes it as "bacterial SSU rRNA". It matches the Rfam family "Bacterial small subunit ribosomal RNA", at positions 139 to 1457 of the family's 1533-position model. Lineage: Bacteria; Bacillati; Actinomycetota; Actinomycetes; Micrococcales; Microbacteriaceae. The record is from RNAcentral.